RNAcentral lists this non-coding RNA (243 nucleotides) under Megasphaera sp. RNAcentral's name for it is "T-box sequence". It matches the Rfam family "T-box leader". Rfam says of the family: Uncharged tRNA acts as the effector for transcription antitermination of genes in the T-box leader family. T-boxes are found upstream of many aminoacyl-tRNA synthetase genes and some amino acid biosynthetic genes usually in Gram-positive bacteria. Lineage: Bacteria; Bacillati; Bacillota; Negativicutes; Veillonellales; Veillonellaceae. The record is from RNAcentral.
AGUGUUGCAAUGAAGAGAAGAGUACAUGGAAGGAAAUGGCACAGAGAGCUUCCGUCCGGUGAAAGGGAGCGCAGGGAAUUCCGUGGAAGAUGGCCUCAGAGCAGAUUGGUCGAAUAAUUAGACCGUCCGGUUGCACCCGUUAUCGUGCUAUGGUAUUCAAGACUACGGUCUGCGUACCUGAAGAGGCCUGGCUUGUGAGAGUCAGGUGAAAUUGGGUGGUAUCACGGUGCUUCCGUCCCUUAC